This 468-nucleotide ribosomal RNA is filed under the name uncultured bacterium. RNAcentral describes it as "partial 16S ribosomal RNA". It matches the Rfam family "Bacterial small subunit ribosomal RNA", at positions 28 to 507 of the family's 1533-position model. The record is from RNAcentral.
GACGAACGCUGGCGGCGUGCUUAACACAUGCCAGUCGAACGGAAAGGCCCUGCUUUUGUGGGGUGCUCGAGUGGCGAACGGGUGAGUAACACGUGAGUAACCUGCCCUUGACUUUGGGAUAACUUCAGGAAACUGGGGCUAAUACCGGAUAGGAGCUCCUGCUGCAUGGUGGGGGUUGGAAAGUUUCGGCGGUUGGGGAUGGACUCGCGGCUUAUCAGCUUGUUGGUGGGGUAGUGGCUUACCAAGGCUUUGACGGGUAGCCGGCCUGAGAGGGUGACCGGCCACAUUGGGACUGAGAUACGGCCCAGACUCCUACGGGAGGCAGCAGUGGGGAAUAUUGCACAAUGGGCGGAAGCCUGAUGCAGCAACGCCGCGUGCGGGAUGACGGCCUGCGGUUUGUAAACCGCUUUCGCCUGUGACGAAGCGUGAGUGACGGUAAUGGGUAAAGAAGCACCGGCUAACUACGUG